This 492-nucleotide ribosomal RNA is filed under the name uncultured bacterium. Its description in RNAcentral is "partial 16S ribosomal RNA". It matches the Rfam family "Bacterial small subunit ribosomal RNA", at positions 28 to 507 of the family's 1533-position model. The record is from RNAcentral.
GACGAACGCUGGCGGCGUGCUUAACACAUGCAAGUCGAACGGAAAGGCCCCCACUUUUUUGGUGGGGGUGCUCGAGUGGCGAACGGGUGAGUAACACGUGGGUGAUCUGCCCUGUACUUCGGGAUAAGCUUGGGAAACUGGGUCUAAUACCGGAUAGGACCAUGGUUUAGUGUCUCAUGGUGGAAAAAUUAUUGUUUUGGUGCAGGAUGAGCUCGCGGCCUAUCAGCUUGUUGGUGGGGUAAUGGCCUACCAAGGCGUCGACGGGUAGCCGGCCUGAGAGGGUGGACGGCCACAUUGGGACUGAGAUACGGCCCAGACUCCUACGGGAGGCAGCAGUGGGGAAUAGUGCACAAUGGGCGCAAGCCUGAUGCAGCGACGCCGCGUGGGGGAUGACGGCCUUCGGGUUGUAAACUCCUUUCGUUAGGGACGAAGCCGCACCUUUUUUGGGUGUGGUGACGGUACCUUUGUUAAGAAGCACCGGCUAACUACGUG